RNAcentral lists this ribosomal RNA (43 nucleotides) under uncultured fungus. RNAcentral's name for it is "partial 5.8S ribosomal RNA". It matches the Rfam family "5.8S ribosomal RNA", at positions 1 to 42 of the family's 154-position model. Rfam says of the family: 5.8S ribosomal RNA (5.8S rRNA) is a component of the large subunit of the eukaryotic ribosome. The record is from RNAcentral. Lineage: Eukaryota; Fungi.
CAACUUUCAACAACGGAUCUCUUGGCUCUCGCAUCGAUGAAGA